AACAGCUGAACUGGAAUUAAGCUUGGCAACAAUCACUGAAUACCACCAAUGUCAGACAACUUAGGGUUUCUGCGGCAAGAGCAGAAUCAAAAAUAAUAAAACCAAAUUGCUGGAAAGCACCUACACAGCUUGCACAGGACUCCCAAAGCCAAGAAAAGCUUCCCGGCUUUUGUGCUGGCCUGGCUGGGGCUGAAUUGUUUCUAAUCUUUCCUAAACUUCAUGAAGCUGCUACCAUCCUAGAACAUGGGAUUUGGGGUAACCUGAAUCUGUUUCUGGGCCAUGGAUACCCAUAUUUGGCUCCAGAAUUGACUACUAUCUCCUGACCCCUUGGAGAUGAGGACAUGGACGCUCAGAGAUUGAGAAAUUUACAAGGAUCAGGAAGUCUUAUCUCAGGCUUGUAAGUAACCUUCUUCAUUAGAAAUAAUGAACAGGGCUCUGGAGAAAUGGCUCAGCAGUUAGAGCACUUACUAUUCUUUCAGAGAAUUGGAAUUGGAUUCUUAGCACCCAUGUUGGGUGCCAUGUUGGGUGGCCCCCAGCCCCCGCCCUCAUAACUCCAGUCCAGGAGAUCAGACAUCUGACACCUCUUGUAGUCUCUACA
Long non-coding RNA from Mesocricetus auratus (golden hamster), 598 nucleotides. RefSeq lists it as uncharacterized. The record is from RefSeq and is a predicted model, not a curated record. NCBI's taxonomy places the organism in Eukaryota, Metazoa, Chordata, Mammalia, Rodentia, Cricetidae. The transcript is spliced from 3 exons.